This 2073-nucleotide long non-coding RNA is filed under the name Volvox carteri. RNAcentral describes it as "long non-coding RNA (VCAR_LNC001748)". The record is from RNAcentral. Lineage: Eukaryota; Viridiplantae; Chlorophyta; Chlorophyceae; Chlamydomonadales; Volvocaceae.
CCAAGAUUCCCUCCAGGCAAUCAAUCAACAGCGAUAGGGGUUUACCUUACCGACUGAGUCUGCCCGGCGUGAAGGAUAUGGGCGUUGAUUGGCCCACACAGGAGUUCGGCUGGUGAAAGGAAGUUACUUAUGCGGUUUACGAGAAGGGAGGACCGCACAGGGCUUGUUGUCUAGCUCAGAGAACUUUACAAUGUUCCAAUCAUGAACGAUCUGAUUAGGUAGUUCUGCUUAGAGCCGUAAAGCGACUUUUCCAAGCUCGCUGCCGGCUAUAAAUACCGAAGUCACAUUGUCGAUCACAGGAGGCCCUCAAAAGAUAAGCCUCGAGUACGACCACGACGUAUAGUCCACAUAUGACAAAAGUGAAACACCUUAUAACCCGUGUGACAGAACAUUCACACAAGAAAUAGACAAUUCACAGGUAAAAUACAUAAACGUACGCAAACGAGCGUACAUUCUCGUCUCGUCCAUAAGUCCAUCAGCGAAGUGUAAGAUGAGAACCAAACACCUUACGCGAUUAUACACGAAAUUCGCGUAUUCACACCGAUUAUAACCUAAGACGAUUAUAAAAGACGGUAAAAUGAACGUGACGCUAGAUUGUCGUGACAAUCUCGUCCACUCCAAUUUACCGAACUUCAGUAUUACUAACUAACACCCGUCAAUUCCGCGGUCGGUGAUUACAGGUUUUAACUAAUACUGCUAUUAGUUUAAUUGCGGCUACUGUUAGCUGUGGCGGCUAAAGCGACUACUGUUAGUCGUCCGCCAUUCACAUGCCGCACUGCUGCAGAAGUCUAUGGGCGACGGCGGCUAAAGCGACUACUGUUAGUCGUCCGCCAUUCGAGUGCCACACUACUGCGGAAGUCCAUAUCUGCAUAUGGGCGCGUUGCGGCUACUGUUAGCUGCAGGCGGCUAAAGUGACUACUGAUANNNNNNNNNNNNNNNNNNNNNNNNNNNNNNNNNNNNNNNNNNNNNNNNNNGCCUGGGAGCUUGGGAGCCUGGGGGCCUGGAAGCCUGGGUUCCUGGGAGCCUGGGAGCCUGGGAGCCUGGGGGCCUGGGAGCCUGGGGGCCUGGGAGCCUGGGGGCCUGGUUGCUUGCGAGCCUGGGGGCUUGGGAGCCUGGGGGCCUGGGGGCCUGGGAGCCGGGGAGCCUGGAAGCCUGGGGACCUGGGAGCUUGGGAGCCUGGGGGCCUGGGAGCCUGGGGACCUGGGAGUCUGGGAGCCUGGGAGCUUGGGGGCCUGGGAGCCUGGGAACCUGGGAGCCUGGGGACCUGGAAGCUUGGGAGCCUGGGGACCUGGGAGCCUGGGAGCUUGGGAGCCUGGGGGCCUGGAAGCCUGGGGACCUGGGAGCCUGGGAGCUUGGAAUGCAGGGUGGCUUGGCGAAGUCCUGCAGGUAGCUUGAAGUGCUGACUUGACGACAAAAAGGGCAAGUAGUGACACUAAACAAAUGGCAACCUGCGCAAGGGGCCAGAGUUCCCUCCAGGCAAUUAAUCAACAGCGGCAAAGAUUUACCUCACCAACUGAGUGUGCCCGGCGUGAAGGAUAUGGGCGUUGAGUGGCCCACACAGGAGUUCGGCUGGUGGAAGGAAGUUACUUAUGCGGUUUACGAGAAGGGAGGACCGCACAGGGCUUGUUGUCUAGCUCAGAGAACUUUACAAUGUUCUAAUCAUGAGCCGUAAAGCGACUUUUCCAAGCUCGCUGCCGGCUAUAAAUACCGAAGUCACGAUGUCGAUCACAGGAGGCCCUCAAAAGAUAAGCCUCGAGUACGACCACGACGUAUAGUCCACAAAUGACACAAGUGAAACACCUUAUAACCCGUGUGACAGAACAUUCACACAAGAAAUGAACAAUUAACAAGUAAAGUACAUAAACAUACGCGAACGAGCGUACAUUCUCGUCUCGUCCAUAAGUCCAUCAGCGAAGUGUAAGAUAAGAACCAAACACCUUACGCGAUAAUACACGAAAUUCGCGUACUCACACCGAUUAUAACCUAAGACGAUUAUAAAAGACGGUAAAAUGAACGUGACGCCAAAAUGUCGUGACAGCUGUCGCGUCACAUGACUGUAGCACCGAACAAAAC